GAGUUUGAUCCUGGCUCAGAGUGAACGCUGGCGGCAGGCCUAACACAUGCAAGUCGAACGGCAGCGCAGCAGUAGCAAUACUGUGGGCGGCGAGUGGCGGACGGGUGAGGAAUACAUCGGAAUCUACCUUGUCGUGGGGGAUAACGUAGGGAAACUUACGCUAAUACCGCAUACGACCUACGGGUGAAAGCGGCGGACCGCAAGGCGUCGCGCGAUUGGAUGAGCCGAUGUCCGAUUAGCUAGUUGGCGGGGUAAAAGCCCACCAAGGCGACGAUCGGUAGCUGGUCUGAGAGGAAGAUCAGCCACACUGGGACUGAGACACGGCCCAGACUCCUACGGGAGGCAGCAGUGGGGAAUAUUGGACAAUGGGGGAAACCCUGAUCCAGCGACGCCGCGUGGGUGAAGAAGGCCUGCGGGUUGUAAAGCCCUUUCGGUAGGGACGAAAGCUCUCGACCUAACACGUCGGGAGGUUGACUUAACCUACAAAGAAGCACCGGCUAACUCUGUGCCAGCCGCCGCAGUAAG
RNAcentral lists this ribosomal RNA (525 nucleotides) under uncultured Gammaproteobacteria bacterium. RNAcentral describes it as "bacterial SSU rRNA". It matches the Rfam family "Bacterial small subunit ribosomal RNA", at positions 9 to 524 of the family's 1533-position model. The record is from RNAcentral. Lineage: Bacteria; Pseudomonadati; Pseudomonadota; Gammaproteobacteria.